Molecule: long non-coding RNA, 654 nt
Filed under: Anas platyrhynchos platyrhynchos (common mallard)
Lineage: Eukaryota; Metazoa; Chordata; Aves; Anseriformes; Anatidae
Description: lncRNA (ENSAPLG00000028960.1)
Source: RNAcentral
GGGGGGUAGGGAGCAAACAACAGUGGUGUCUUAGCUGCCUGCCACAUUAAGGCAUAAUACAGUUUUAUCUGCUGGAGAGAAAAUGUCUUCCAAAGUAAGUCCAUGUAGUAUGAAGCAACCAUGGAGUAGAGUGCUCAGCCUGUUUUUCUGACCCUCCAGCAGUAUUGUUAGAACUACAGACAGGAAGACUCUGCAGAAUGAAGUCCUGCAACAGCAAGCCUGUGGGUUUUCAAAAUGUGUCUAUGUUUUGUGGUCUCAACUGAAGACUUAAUUACAGCUCUUCUAUUACUCCACAAGUGCUACCAAAGAGAGUUGCAAGAGCAUUCAGCAAUAUUCAAGGAGGAACAACAUCAGUGUUUCAAAUGAACUCACUGACUGAACUAGCAUUGCUGCACAUCACACCCAGGUAUUUUGCCACCAACCUCAAUGUGCCUCUUGCUGUGUGAAGUCCUUUCGAGCAGUAACUCCCCUGCCAGCUUGAGCAGUAUUACAGAAGAAAGAGUUCUCAGUGUCACAGCAGGACUCCAGCAAGAUGGUAUUCCAGUUCCUGGAAUCAGGCACCUGUGCAAAACAGCUCUGAUGAGUUACAAAUCAUCAGGACCCCGCUGAUUUCACUAGAAUUUCUGAGUGCUCUUAGGUGUCUUCCUCCUGCUU